UUGAGCUAUAGACGGUAAAAGUGGUGGGGGGAGGAAAGUCCGGACACUCACCAGCACAUAAUUUAUGUGUUGGUAAAAGAGCAGUCCGUAACACGGACCGGGAGUAGGUUGAGUAAAGACAUCUCUAGAGAGUUUUUAUUUAAUUGAAGCCCAGGACCAGUGCAACAGAAACAAACUACCUUGUAUUAUGCGAGGCAAAGGUGAAAUCGUGAGGUAAGAGCUCACGCGUUUGAAUGGUGACAUUCAGGCGGGGUAAACUUCUGCUCGGGUGAAAGGCCAAAAUUGGUAGGCCGUUAGAAUCUGAUGGCAACAUCAGGUCUAGAUAGAUGACCGUUUAAAACAGAAUCCGGCUUAUUGCUUGCUUGGGCAU
This 370-nucleotide RNase P RNA is filed under the name Patescibacteria group bacterium. Its description in RNAcentral is "RNase P RNA component class A". It matches the Rfam family "Bacterial RNase P class A". From Rfam's summary of the family: Ribonuclease P (RNase P) is a ubiquitous endoribonuclease, found in archaea, bacteria and eukarya as well as chloroplasts and mitochondria. Its best characterised activity is the generation of mature 5'-ends of tRNAs by cleaving the 5'-leader elements of precursor-tRNAs. The record is from RNAcentral. RNAcentral also lists the same sequence under 1 other name.